Molecule: ribosomal RNA, 468 nt
Filed under: uncultured bacterium
Lineage: Bacteria
Description: partial 16S ribosomal RNA
Rfam family: Bacterial small subunit ribosomal RNA
Source: RNAcentral
GACGAACGCUGGCGGCGUGCUUAACACAUGCAAGUCGAACGGAAAGGCCCUGCUUUUGUGGGGUGCUCGAGUGGCGAACGGGUGAGUAACACGUGAGUAACCUGCCCUUGACUUUGGGAUAACUUCAGGAAACUGGGGCUAAUACCGGAUAGGAGCUCCUGCUGCAUGGUGGGGGUUGGAAAGUUUCGGCGGUUGGGGAUGGACUCGCGGCUUAUCAGCUUGGUGGUGGGGUAGUGGCUUACCAAGGCUUCGAGGGGUAGCCGGCCUGAGGGGGUGACCGGCCACAUUGGGACUGAGAUACGGCCCAGACUCCUACGGGAGGCAGCAGUGGGGAAUAUUGCACAAUGGGCGGAAGCCUGAUGCAGCAACGCCGCGUGCGGGAUGACGGCCUUCGGGUUGUAAACCGCUUUCGCCUGUGACGAAGCGUGAGUGACGGUAAUGGGUAAAGAAGCACCGGCUAACUACGUG